This 405-nucleotide ribosomal RNA is filed under the name uncultured bacterium. RNAcentral's name for it is "bacterial SSU rRNA". It matches the Rfam family "Bacterial small subunit ribosomal RNA", at positions 355 to 776 of the family's 1533-position model. The record is from RNAcentral.
UCGGGAAUAUUGCGCAAUGGAGGAAACUCUGACGCAGUGACGCCGCGUAUAGGAAGAAGGUUUUCGGAUUGUAAACUAUUGUCGUUAGGGAAGAUAAAAGACUGUACCUAAGGAGGAAGCCCCGGCUAACUAUGUGCCAGCAGCCGCGGUAAUACAUAGGGGGCAAGCGUUAUCCGGAAUUAUUGGGUGUAAAGGGUGCGUAGACGGAGAAACAAGUUGGUUGUGAAAUCCCUCGGCUCAACUGAGGAACUGCAACCAAAACUAUUUCCCUUGAGUGUCGGAGAGGAAAGUGGAAUUCCUAGUGUAGCGGUGAAAUGCGUAGAUAUUAGGAGGAACACCAGUGGCGAAGGCGACUUUCUGGACGAUAACUGACGUUGAGGCACGAAAGUGUGGGGAGCAAACAGG